GAUGAACGCUGGCGGCGUGCCUAAUACAUGCGAGUCGAGCGAACAGACGAGAGUGCUUGCACUCUCUGACGUUAGCGGCGGACGGGUGAGUAACACGUGGGUAACCUACCUAUAAGACUGGGAUAACUUCGGGAAACCGGAGCUAAUACCGGAUAAUAUUUAGCUUCGCAUGAAGCAAUAGUGAAAGACGGUUCUGCUGUCACUUAUAGAUGGACCCGCGGUGUAUUAGCUAGUUGGUGAGGUAACGGCUCACCAAGGCAACGAUACAUAGCCGACCUGAGAGGGUGAUCGGCCACACUGGGACUGAGACGCGGCCCAGACUCCUACGGGAGGCAGCAGUAGGGAAUCUUCCGCAAUGGACGAAAGUCUGACGGAGCAAUGCCGCGUGAGUGAAGAAGGUUUUCGGAUCGUAAAACUCUGUUGUAAGGGAAGAACAAGUACGUUAGUAACUGAACGUACCUUGACGGUACCUUACCAGAAAGCCACGGCUAACUACGUG
RNAcentral lists this ribosomal RNA (499 nucleotides) under uncultured bacterium. Its description in RNAcentral is "partial 16S ribosomal RNA". It matches the Rfam family "Bacterial small subunit ribosomal RNA", at positions 28 to 507 of the family's 1533-position model. The record is from RNAcentral.